AUGGGGGGACCAUCCUCCAAGGCUAAAUACUCAUCAUCGACCGAUAGUGAACCAGUACCGUGAGGGAAAGGCGAAAAGAACCCCGGGAGGGGAGUGAAAUAGAACCUGAAACCUGAUGCAUACAAACAGUGGGAGCACCUUGUGGUGUGACUGCGUACCUUUUGUAUAAUGGGUCAACGACUUACAUUCAGUAGCGAGCUUAACCGGAUAGGGGAGGCGUAGGGAAACCGAGUCUUAAUAGGGCGAAGAGUUGCUGGGUGUAGACCCGAAACCGAGUGAUCUAUCCAUGGCCAGGUUGAAGGUGCCGUAACAGGUACUGGAGGACCGAACCCACGCAUGUUGCAAAAUGCGGGGAUGAGCUGUGGAUAGGGGUGAAAGGCUAAACAAACUCGGAGAUAGCUGGUUCUCCCCGAAAACUAUUUAGGUAGUGCCUCGAGCAAGACACUGAUGGGGGUAAAGCACUGUUAUGGCUAGGGGGUUAUUGCAACUUACCAACCCAUGGCAAACUAAGAAUACCAUCAAGUGGUUCCUCGGGAGACAGACAGCGGGUGCUAACGUCCGUUGUCAAGAGGGAAACAACCCAGACCGCCAGCUAAGGUCCCAAAUGAUAGAUUAAGUGGUAAACGAAGUGGGAAGGCACAGACAGCCAGGAUGUUGGCUUAGAAGCAGCCAUCAUUUAAAGAAAGCGUAAUAGCUCACUGGUCGAGUCAUCCUGCGCGGAAGAUGUAACGGGGCUCAAAUCUAUAACCGAAGCUGCGGAUGCACCUAGUGCAUGGUAGGGGAGCGUUCUGUAGGCCUGAGAAGGUGUUUCGUAAGGAAUGCUGGAGGUAUCAGAAGUGCGAAUGUUGACAUGAGUAGCGAUAAAGCGGGUGAAAAGCCCGCUCGCCGAAAGCCCAAGGUUUCCUACGCAACGUUCAUCGGCGUAGGGUGAGUCGGCCCCUAAGGCGAGGCAGAGAUGCGUAGUCGAUGGGAAACGGGUUAAUAUUCCCGUACUUGAUUCAAAUGCGAUGUGGGGACGGAGAAGGUUAUGCUGGCAAUCUGUUGGAAUAGAUUGUUUAAGCCGGUAGGUAGAAGGAGUAGGCAAAUCCGCUUCUUUAAUACCGAGACGUGAUGACGAGUGUCUACGGACAUGAAGCAGCAAAUACCACGCUUCCAGGAAAAGCCACUAAGCUUCAGUUUGAAUUGAACCGUACCGCAAACCGACACAGGUGGGCAGGAUGAGAAUUCUAAGGCGCUUGAGAGAACUCGGGAGAAGGAACUCGGCAAAUUGAUACCGUAACUUCGGGAGAAGGUAUGCCCUCUAAUGUAAAGGACUUGCUCCGGAAGCAUCUGAGGGUCGCAGAGAAUCGGUGGCUGCGACUGUUUAUUAAAAACACAGCACUCUGCAAACACGAAAGUGGACGUAUAGGGUGUGACGCCUGCCCGGUGCUGGAAGGUUAAUUGAAGAUGUGAGAGCAUCGGAUCGAAGCCCCAGUAAACGGCGGCCGUAACUAUAACGGUCCUAAGGUAGCGAAAUUCCUUGUCGGGUAAGUUCCGACCCGCACGAAUGGCGUAACGAUGGCCACACUGUCUCCUCCCGAGACUCAGCGAAGUUG
Molecule: ribosomal RNA, 1595 nt
Filed under: human metagenome
Description: bacterial LSU rRNA
Rfam family: Bacterial large subunit ribosomal RNA
Source: RNAcentral